UACAGAGGUGGCAAGCGUUGUUCGGAAUUACUGGGCGUAAAGGGCGCGUAGGCGGCCUUCUAAGUCAGACGUGAAAUCCCCCGGCUUAACCUGGGAACUGCGUCUGAUACUGGGAGGCUUGAGUAUGGGAGAGGGAUGUAGAAUUCCAGGUGUAGCGGUGAAAUGCGUAGAGAUGUGGAGGAACACCGAUGGCGAAGGCAGCCCCCUGGGCUAACACUGACGCUCAUGCACGAAAGCGUGGGGAGCAAACAGG
Molecule: ribosomal RNA, 253 nt
Filed under: uncultured bacterium
Lineage: Bacteria
Description: partial 16S ribosomal RNA
Rfam family: Bacterial small subunit ribosomal RNA
Source: RNAcentral